UGCCAGACUCCUACGGGAGGCAGCAGUAGGGAAUUUUGCGCAAUGGGCGAAAGCCUGACGCAGCAACGCCGCGUGAUUGAUUAAGCCCUUCGGGGUGUAAAGAUCUGUCAGUGGGGACGAAACUUGACUGUACCCACAGAGGAAGCACCGGCUAACUCCGUGCCAGCAGCCGCGGUAAUACGUAGGGGGCGAGCGUUAUCCGGAUUCACUGGGUGUAAAGGGAGCGUAGACGGCCGUGCAAGCCAGGAGUGAAAGCCCGGGGCCCAACCCCGGGACUGCUCUUGGAACUGUGCGGCUGGAGUGCGGGAGGGGCAGGCGGAAUUCCUGGUGUAGCGGUGAAAUGCGUAGAUAUCAGGAGGAACACCGGCGGCGAAGGCGGCCUGCUGGACCGCGACUGACGUUGAGGCUCGAAAGCGUGGGGAGCGAACAGGAUUAGAUACCCCCGUA
This 447-nucleotide ribosomal RNA is filed under the name uncultured bacterium. RNAcentral describes it as "bacterial SSU rRNA". It matches the Rfam family "Bacterial small subunit ribosomal RNA", at positions 329 to 792 of the family's 1533-position model. The record is from RNAcentral.